RNAcentral lists this ribosomal RNA (438 nucleotides) under uncultured bacterium. RNAcentral's name for it is "bacterial SSU rRNA". It matches the Rfam family "Bacterial small subunit ribosomal RNA", at positions 65 to 507 of the family's 1533-position model. The record is from RNAcentral.
GGCUUGUCACCUCGGUGGCGAGUGGCGAACGGGUGAGUAAUGCAUCGGAACGUGCCCAUGAGUGGGGGAUAACGCAUCGAAAGAUGUGCUAAUACCGCAUAUACUCUGAGGAGUAAAGUAGGGGAUCGAAAGACCUUAUGCUUUUGGAGCGGCCGAUGUCUGAUUAGCUAGUUGGUGGGGUAAUUGCCCACCAAGGCGACGAUCAGUAGUUGGUCUGAGAGGACGACCAGCCACACUGGGGACUGAGACACGGCCCAGACUCCUACGGGAGGCAGCAGUGGGGAAUUUUGGACAAUGGGCGCAAGCCUGAUCCAGCAAUGCCGCGUGAGUGAAGAAGGCCUUCGGGUUGUAAAGCUCUUUCAGUUGAGAAGAAAAGAUUGUAACUAAUAAUUACAGUUCAUGACGGUAUCAACAGAAGAAGCACCGGCUAACUACGUG